GCCAUGGUUUUGAAGGGCAUUCCCUUGCCAGAGUGUGGGAGGAGAGAGCAGCCGCCGAAAGAGCUCCAGGUGUUUGCAGGAUUUGCUUCAAAGGGCACUCCAAAAAUUGAACUGAGAAAUCCCAAGCAAGCUGCCUGAAUUUCCCUGUAAAUUCUUGGUCUACAUCCUGUAAAGGACCA
Molecule: long non-coding RNA, 179 nt
Organism: Myotis brandtii (Brandt's bat)
Lineage: Eukaryota; Metazoa; Chordata; Mammalia; Chiroptera; Vespertilionidae
Exons: 2
Source: RefSeq, a predicted model, not a curated record